GAGAACGCGUGGCUGGUGUAAAUGA
Molecule: non-coding RNA, 25 nt
Filed under: Cricetulus griseus (Chinese hamster)
Lineage: Eukaryota; Metazoa; Chordata; Mammalia; Rodentia; Cricetidae
Source: RNAcentral